AUUGAACGCUGGCGGAAUGCUUUACACAUGCAAGUCGAACGGCAGCACGGGGCAACCUGGUGGCGAGUGGCGAACGGUGAGUAAUACAUCGGAACGUGCCCAAUCGUGGGGGAUAACGUAGCGAAAGUUACGCUAAUACCGCAUACGAUCUACGGAUGAAAGCGGGGGAUCGCAAGACCUCGCGCGAAUGGAGCGGCCGAUGUCAGAUUAGGUAGUUGGUGGGGUAAAGGCUCACCAAGCCGACGAUCUGUAGCUGGUCUGAGAGGACGACCAGCCACACUGGGACUGAGACACGGCCCAGACUCCUACGGGAGGCAGCAGUGGGAAAUUUUGGACAAUGGGCGCAAGCCUGAUCCAGCCAUUCCGCGUGCAGGAUGAAGGCCUUCGGUUGUAAACUGCUUUGUACGGAACGAAACGGUUACGUCUCUAAUACAGGGGCGUAAU
Molecule: ribosomal RNA, 444 nt
Filed under: uncultured bacterium
Lineage: Bacteria
Description: bacterial SSU rRNA
Rfam family: Bacterial small subunit ribosomal RNA
Source: RNAcentral